Cheilinus undulatus (humphead wrasse) is the source of this 663-nucleotide long non-coding RNA. RefSeq lists it as uncharacterized. Lineage: Eukaryota; Metazoa; Chordata; Actinopteri; Labriformes; Labridae. The transcript has 2 exons. The record is from RefSeq and is a predicted model, not a curated record.
UAGAAGGAGGACUGGAGCGGGAGUUGUGUAAAAGGGGCUGAAGUCCUGCGUAGCGUACACCACCACCACCUACACCAACACUGCUGCCGCUGCUGCUGUGAAAAGUCGAUUCUCCUCCAGAUUUAUUGAAGCGUUUUUCAUGGGGGGUUGAGAGGAAAAACAAACAGACAUCGACACACCCUGCUGAAGGUCCGGGACUCCGCCGAGCGGUGGGCGAGGCAGCGUGAACUCUGGCGGACCGAUCGGAGGAGGUUUAUCCACGCAGGAGCGACCCGGCCGGUGGGCAAGGAUCACCUAAAGCAGGAAUAAGAAAGAUGGCUCUGUUUGUCACCCCCUCGUCCUCUUAUGGCUGACACACAGCGGUUCUUCACUGGCAAGCUUUAUGUUCUUGUACACAUGCUAAAGCUGCCAGCUGAAGAACUGCUCUGGUCUGCCCUGCCCCAGACGACUCAGGAACAGGAAGCGGACGGAGGGGGGCGGUGGGAAGUUUUCCACAUGCUCAGGAGUCAGACGGGACUUUAAUAAUAUGCAAGAUUCAAGCCACCAUUGUUUGCAUUCCUGUUGAAUCACAUGCAGGUUUUAUUUCAUUUUUGACAUAAAUUACACGCUGACUAGAUCUCUGAGGUGUACUUUACUGGUCUUAAAAUAAAAAAGUGAAAAAUU